GGCCGUCUGGCGAAAUGGCAUCGCGUCUGACUACGAUUUGGAGCUUAAAAUCAAGAAUAAUCAGGAGAUUGUAGGUUCGACCCCUACGUCGGUCA
Non-coding RNA from Armillaria mellea, 95 nucleotides. The record is from the annotation of a GenBank genome assembly. NCBI's taxonomy places the organism in Eukaryota, Fungi, Basidiomycota, Agaricomycetes, Agaricales, Physalacriaceae.